CAGGGUAACGUGCAGAGCUGGAAACUCAUCGACACUCAUCCUGCAGGUCCUCGUACCCUGGAGAUCAGGCUCUGGAGCUGGGGAGAUUUGUCGUCGCCAGGGCAACAGCUGGAGCACGUCUCUCUGUGAAACAGACCCGCCAGACACUCUGGCCAAUGGCUGACAUCUGAACGAUGGCAUGGAGCUGCCAAGCAAGCACGUAUCCUGGAUUUCAUCCUGCUAUAGCCCAAGACGCUGAGCUUUUGAGGGUGUGGAGCACAAACCUCAACUGAACAAGCCUACAUGGACACUCAGAAACCAAAAACACUAGUCUCACUGAAUAUUCUCCUGCUUAUUGUACAUUCUUGGCGUUCCUACUGUACACGAGAACACGGACGAAAAGGCGGGAAAGGGAGGGGAGAGACUUGCAGCUCAUCACCCUGCCAAAUGGGCCUGUGCCAGCCCCCGUCUGUAGCCGAGGCCGUGUCACUCCGGAGCGACGGCGUGGGCGGCCGCUAACGGGCUAACAGGCUAAAUGCACAACGCGUUCGCUUAUCUGCUCUGAGCCAG
Molecule: long non-coding RNA, 549 nt
Organism: Anguilla anguilla (European eel)
Lineage: Eukaryota; Metazoa; Chordata; Actinopteri; Anguilliformes; Anguillidae
Exons: 4
Source: RefSeq, a predicted model, not a curated record